This is a long non-coding RNA of Labrus mixtus (cuckoo wrasse), 771 nucleotides long. RefSeq lists it as uncharacterized. The transcript has 2 exons. The record is from RefSeq and is a predicted model, not a curated record. Lineage: Eukaryota; Metazoa; Chordata; Actinopteri; Labriformes; Labridae.
CUCUUCAACAUGUGUGUGAAGUGUCUUGUUCUAAAUCCACUCUGAUCCUGUAUUUGAUCAUGUCUAUAAACCCCUCUAUUUCAGCCCUGCUCAGAACAGGCUGUUUCUGUGUCUGUACCUUUAAAUAUGUAAAUGAGCUGUGUCUGACCACGCCCCCUCUCUGGAAGGGGCUUGGGUGUACUCGGUCUUUCUCGCUCCAUGUCCUAUUGUUUACGGUGAGAAGGCAGACUCAGAGGGCAGAACAAACACCUAGCUGUGGGAGUGUCACCCACCUGGGGGAGGGGCUACUGCCCUUUGUGAUGUCAUGAAGGGAACAUCUCCAAACGGCCAGAAGUUGCUCACACAUUUUCUGAAAAGUGGAGCAGGCAGAAGACGGAGAGGAUGGACUUUUCUCAUCAUUGGGGGGUUUGUAGACGGACUAGAGACACAUGUUAGAGUUAGAGGAACAUGGGGAGGAGGAUUUUAAAUAUGUGACCUUUAAAGUUUAAAGACAUGUUUGUGUUACAGUCGGACUGGGUAGUUUGCUGUGAUUAUAAAAAGUUUUUGAUGUUGAAGAAUUUUGAAAGACUGAAAGGACUGACAGACUGUAAAGAGAGAGUAUGAAGAUGGAUUUAUAAAUCUGCUGAAAACAUUUCCUGUAUCAUUUCAAAACGUUUCUGUGAGUGUGGAGCAGAAAGAAGUGUAAACUCUGCUUCAGGGUGGAUUUAUUAUUCCUCGUUUCAUUUCUGUGACUAAUGUGAUGCUACUGCUUAAUAAAGCCACUAAACACAC